Molecule: long non-coding RNA, 2729 nt
Filed under: Sus scrofa (pig)
Lineage: Eukaryota; Metazoa; Chordata; Mammalia; Artiodactyla; Suidae
Description: lncRNA (ENSSSCG00000063122.1)
Source: RNAcentral
ACCAGCAGCAUAUGGAGGUUCCCAGGCUAGGGGCUGAAUCAGAGCCACAGCAAUGCCAGAUCUGAACUGCAUCUGCAACCUACACCAUAGCUCAUGGCAAUGCUGAUCCUUAACACACUGAGUGAGGCCAGGGAUCAAACUCGAGUCCUCAUGGAUAUCAGUCAGGUUUGUUUACCGCUGAGCCAUGACAGAAACUACCUUGAAUGUCUUAUUUAGAGUAUUGGAGUAUUGGAGUUCCCGUCGUGGCUCAGUGGUUAACGAAUCCAACUAGGAACCAUGAGGUUGCGGGUUCAAUCCUUGGCCUUGCUCAGUGGAUUAAGGAUCUGGCGUUGCCGUGAGCUGUGGUGUAAGCCAGUGGCUAUGGCUCCAAUUCAACUCCUAGCCUGGGAACCUCCAUAUGCCGCAAGGGAGCGGCCCUAGAAAAGGCAAAAAGACAACAACAACAACAACAACAACAACAAAAAUAGAUUUACUAUUAUCCCAUUUAAUCACUACAGAGACUUAUUCUAGGAAGUCUUUAGUAACUCACAGUUAGGUGAGGUUUUGUAUUAUUCUUAGAAUGUUACUUAUAGUUACCUGUUUUAUUGUUAUUAAACCUGUUAUUUAAAAACAUAGGCAAUAAAAUACAGUUCACUCUAAACUCCACUUUUUUUCAUCACACAAUUACAUUAGAAAACAAGAAGCCUUCUGCUACAAUGAGAUAAUACAACCCCUAGGUGUUCAAAGACACAUGGCAAACAAUGCCUGAAAUGGGAAUGUUAUCUUACAGUAAAAUAUGCCUACCUCUGAGGGUUUUGUUUUACCACUGCUAAUGUGCUUUUAGAAUUAUGACAGAGAUGUACCUAUAGGAAUGCCAUUGACUGACAAAUCAUUACAUACAGAACAGCCAGAGGGGAAAAAAUGACACUAAGAAUUCAAAACAAGACAGUGAGUGCAUUUUGAAAUGAAUUUUGAAAGGCAUAUUACAUGCAAAUUAAAACCUUCUUUUUUGAAAACUGCCAUAACUGUUUUCCUUGAUUGUAAUGAGGCAUUUGGUAGAAUUAAGUAUUUGAUAUCUAUAAAUCAUUUAAAACAGAGAAUGAAGAGCUGAGGUUAUUGGUGUGUGAUGAGUUGCCUCUGAACUUACUCAGGGAAUGAGGUUUUAAAGAUGUGAUUCUGUGAGUUCUCCACGGAACAGGACACAGUUUUUCAUAAGGGAAGAUAAGCAUUCUGUCUGAACUGAGAGUUUUAGAAUGCAGAGAACUUAUAAUUAAAGAGAGAGCUUAGAAAUCAUACAGAACAAAUCCUUCACAUAACAGUUUCUCCUUUCAUUCAUGUGCUUUAUGUCUUGCUCAAAGUUAUCAGCAGUCCUAGUCAUACCAACUCUGAUUCACUCUUGUAUUACCCCCAGUAAGAAACAUCUACUAGAAUAUCCGGAAAGGGCUUCAAACUGCUCUACCUCACCAGGAAGUCCCUGGGAGUUCCUGUUGUGGCUCAGCAGAAACAAAUCUGACCAGUAUCCAUGAGGAUGCAGGCUCAAUCUCUGGCCUCGCUCAGUGGGUUAAGGAUCCAGUGUUGCCAUGAACUGUAGUACAGGUCACAGACAUGGCUUGGAUUUGGAACUCCUGUGGCUGUGGCAUAGGCUGGCGGCUACAGCUCCAUUUCGACCCCUAGCCUGAGAAUCUCCAUAUGCCACAGAUGCAGCCCUAAAAUAAAAAAUAAAAAUAAAAAUAAAAAUAAAGGAAAAACACUCGAAGAAUCUGCGAGUUGUUAGGAACCAAGAAGUUACCUCUUUAUACAUUUCCUGCUUUGUUUUUUAAAAGUAAUGUAUGGUGGCUUUAGAUAUCAACUAACGAAAUCUUUUUACCUUUAAUUUUAUUGAAAUAUAAUUCAUUUACUAUAUUGUAUUAAUUUCUAUUAUACAUUAAAGUGACUCAGUUAUACAUAUAUAUAUAUUCUCCUUCAUAUUCUUUUCCAUUAUGGUUUAUUACUGGAUAUUGAGUAUAUUUCCCUGUGCUAUAAAGUAGGACCUUGUUGUUUAUCCAUCCUAUAUAUACUGGUUUGCACCUGCUAAAUCCAAAUUCCCAGUCCUUCCCUACUCCAUUCUCCUAUGCCACAAGUCUUGGUAACCACAAAUCUGUUCUCUAUGUCUGUGAGUCUGUUCCUAUUUCAUAAAUACGUUCAAUUGUGUCAUAUUUUAGAUUGCACAUAUUAAUGGUAUGGUAUUUGCCUUUCUUUUUCUGACUUACUUCAGUUAGGAUGAUAAUUUCUAGGUCCAUCUGUGUAGCGCAAAUGGCAUUAUUUUAUUCUUUUAUACAGCUGAGUAAUGUUCCAUUUUUUAUAUAUACACCAUACCAUAUCUUCUUUAUCCAGAUAUGAUAUCCAAUGUCAUCUGUUGAUAGACAUUUAGGUUGCUUUCAUGUCUUGGCUACUGUAAAUGGUGUGGCUAUGAACACAGAGGUGUACCUUUCAAAUUAUAGUUUUGUCCAGAUGUAUGCCCAGGAGUGGGGUUGCUGGAUCAUACGGCAACUCUGAUUUUAGAUUUUUGAGGACCUUCAUACUGUUUUCCACAGUGUCUGCGCUAAUUUACAUUCCCAUCAACAGUACAAGGUUUCCUUUUCUCCACACCCUCUCCAACAUUUAUUACUUAUAGACUUUUUAAUGAUGGCCAUUCUGACCAGUGUCAGGUGGUACCUCAUUAUAGUUUUCAUUUGCAUUUCUCCAGUAAUUAGCAAUGAUGAGCAUCUUUU